UUUUCACGGGAGGCGCUAAAUCCUGAGGGGUAUCAUUCGUUGUGUUCGUACGCCUCGGCGGCGGUGGCUAUGAAUGUAGUGCCCUGGUCAGCGCAUGAAGACAUCAAUUGUUCUCAGUCGUCGGUUUCACGCUGUCGUAGGUGGACGUGUGUGUGUUGUGCUCUUGUGUUUGCAGGCGCACUGUCAAUAAAGGAUCAUCAUCAUCAUUAUUAUUAUUAUUUAUAAUAUUAUAUAUAUAUAUUGCAUGUUAUGAAAGUAAAAUAAUAAAAUGUGGACGACAGAUUACAAGAAAGUUAAGAAAAACUAGUUUAUUUGUGGCACAGUCUGCAUCCGGACAAAAAGGACCUUUUUGUCCUGAGCUGUGAGCUCGUCAAGUCACCAAGGCAGCAGGCAGGAAAAAAAAUUGUUUCCUAACACUAAGUUUUUCAGGUUUCAGGUUUACUGCUCUAUCAUCAAUUGGGAAUAAGCCAGUCAAGCAAAGAGCAAACAGGUGAUGCUUGCACUAUAGCUGCACCUGCGUACGAUACUACAAGUCAGGUUGAACCAAAGUCUGAUGCCAUUCAGUGCACUGGCGUGAUAAAAACCGAGCAGGUUGAAUGCAUUGACGGCACUGAAGCGUAUGGUUGUCCAAAAGAUGAGGUUCCAUCACCUGAAACAAAAUGGUUUACGGCACAAAGCACAUUCCUGGUGCAAGAAGGAAGACCUCACAGGUGACAGAUCGCACAUGCAGCUAUUGUGCAGCAGCUGUCUCCAAUCUGUGGCUGAGCACUAGUUCUGGACCCCAAGGUGUGUCUCCACACGUCUACCUUUGAUCUCACUGCGCUUGGAAAAAAAUCCCGCAAGUCAUCUCUUGGAACCAGUUUUCAGAUUCUCAAGGAGUAGAUGCUGCCAUCGCGAGUCCAUCCAUUUUUCUCCCAGGAACAGUGAGCACACCUUCCCGGUGUCUGUUACACUUGGAAGACUGCCGGCAGCUGUGCUGAGGAGCAAGGUUGCGAGAUGAGAGACAGAUUGAGGAUUCCAUCACACCAUACUUCUCAGGACUAUAAAUAGGGCUGAGUGCUGAUAAACAUCGUAUAACUGGCCACAACAUCUGGGUAUCGGCUGUUGCUUGUAGCUACACAUCCUGAAGAUUACAUCGUCAACUUGACUACCAGGGCACCUCCCAGCAAGCUCUGAUGUCCAGUGUUCAGCUGCCACUUACGAAGAAUGCUGGACCAAGAAGAGCAAUGAGAUCUACAAUAACAACGGAGGGAUCAUGGGAAAGUUUUGGAUAGUCUUGGUGAACUACGAGUCAAUCAAAGGCUUCAUAGGCACCGGAAGCAACCUUCUCAUCGCUGACUAAACAGGAAUUGCAGUGGCCAUCCACGGAGGCAACGUCCAAAAGAGGCUGGAGCAGUAUUUUUGUAUUUAUUUAUUUAUUUUACCCUCAAGGCCCGACGGGCAAUACAGAAGGGAGUGGUUAAAAAUAAACAAUAAAUACAAUGUGGAACAUUAAGAAAUUACAGGAACGAUUAGUAUAUCAGUAACACCAGAAAGCUAGGUUACAUAAUAACAAACUAAAAAAACAACAUGAUAUUACACGUGAUAAUACAGCUUACAAUGAAGAAAAACCUGCUUUGCAUUAUGGUGCAGUGUUAGAUAUGGCACGAUAAAAUUGAGAGUGAUCCCUGAUGUCCGUACGCGAUUCGGAAAGGCGGUUCCACUCUCCUGAUGUGCGAAAAAUUAAAUGACUGAUGACGCGCUUCCGUUUGACGUGAUGUAAUUCCAACCUGUGCAGGAUGAUAUGUAUGAUGGUGAAAGUAGUAGAUCAUUGCUUAAGUAUGGUAUGUGAUGAAAGAUUUUGUGAAACAACGAAAGACUCAGAAUCUUACAGCGAGUUGCGAGAGGGGGAAAUUGUCUUUCAUUGAUGUCACGCUUGCUGCGCGAUUAUAAUUUCGGUGGAUGAAAUGCGCUGCAUUAUUUUGGAUGAGCUCGAUUGAGUUAAUAAGAGAAAUGGAGCAGGGGUCCCAUAUUGAUGCAGCGUAGUCAAGCUUACUGCGUGUCUUACACAGUGUUAGUUUUAUAGAACUGAGGGCGUUUGAGAAGUUGCGACAGAGGUAACCUAGCAUACAGUUGGCAUUACUAAUUAUUGUACUUGUGUGUUGUGACCAGGUAAGAGAUGAAUUUAUAUUGACACCAAGGUGCCGAUAUGAUGAAACAGGUUCAAGUAUGGUAUUGUUAAGGUAGUAGGAAGGUGCUAAAGUAUUAGUUUGAGAGACACUUAAAGCUUUACAUUUGCUAGUAUUUAGUUCCAUUAGCCACGUGUUACAUCAGUUGGAGACUGCUGUUAGGUCAUUCUGCAGCAUAACAGAGUUCUGACUGUUGUUAAUUUCACGGAAAUUACGCAGUCAUCAGCAAAUAGGUGGGCGUUACGGGAGACACAAUCCGAGAGAUCAUUAAUAUACAGUAAAACCUCCGAAGCCAGAUACCUCCCUAUGUCAGACAAGAUUUUAUUGCAUCGGCGGGCUCCCAUUGAAAAUACAUGAAAUUCUCUAUGUCGGACACCUCCCUAUCCCAGAAGUAGCACAGGGUUUUCCCUGUUAAAUCGAACGGAAGCCUCGCCCAAUCAUAUCAAUCAAUCUUUGCACCGAAAAGACCCAAAAUGAGCGUGUGCCCUAGAUUUUCACCUUUUUUUUCUUUCCUAUACUGGUCUCAGCAUUUUGUUGUUUUAGUUUUUGGUGUCCAAAAAGGGAUACUGUCAGUCUACAUUCUAACUAUUCUUUAGUAGUGCGAGCACUUGUCUUGGGUUUGUCUAGAGCCUUUGCACGUGCAAUGCACUAAUCAAAAGUGAGCUGACAUUUCAGAGACAAGUCUUUGAGCUUCGUUCCAAGUGGGUUUAGACUCUCAAGCAAGUUACACGCUGCUCGAAAAGCUCCAAAGGUAAUGCCAUUGAGUGCAAUACGCCUGGAAUUGAAUCUACCAAAAUUAGCAAUAAUUAUCAAUGAAGAGUGGGUAGAGAGGUACCAGGUACCACUAACGACCGUAAAUUGAAGAAGGGGGACAUUUCUGGCAACACAGCGGUGGUCUUUUCCAUUUUUUGUUUCCCUCGUAUUCUGUAACUCGGACACCUCUCUAAGUAGGACACAAUUCGGCUGCACCACGGGUGUCCAGGAUAGGGAGGUUUCACUGUAUAUUAGGAAAAGAACAGGGACGGAGCCUUGUGGCACACCGGAGCAAACAGGAGGUAACGAGGACGCGUAGCUAUUAGCGCUGACAAAGUGGGAAUGAUUAUAAAGAAAGUGUUCAAUUCACGCUACAAGAUUGAGAUCUACAUUUAGGUUACUGAGUUUUAGAAGUAAGAGUUUGUGACAUACCUUGUCAAAGGCUUUUAAGAAGUCAAGCCUUCAAGCCAUCUGCAUAUGAGCAACGGCCCAGAAUCAGGUGCAGAACACAUGUUGUACGUGAGAAAAAAAAAGAGAAAAAGAGUUUGCUUCAGGGAAACUGGCUAGAUGUGAAUAAAGUAUGUGUUCAAGUAUUUUGCAGGGAACGCUAGUAAGCGAUAUGGGUCUGUAAUUGUUGGGUGAAUCUUUGUUACCAGAUUUGUCAACUGGGACCACAUUUCCCGUCUUCCAGUCCUCAGGAACUGUGUGAGUGUCGAGUGAUUGCUGGAAGAGGUUUCCAGAAUAAUUGAGGAGUGCAAAGUGGUGCUUUUCAAGAACUUUGAAGUGAUAAGAUCAGCGCCAAGGCUUGAUGACAGCUUCAGUGAUUCAAUUAUAUUAAUUACGCCAGUGAGCUUGAUUUGUAUGGGACCCAUUGGAAAGUAGAUCCGAGGCUACAUAACUGGAAGUGGCGAGUUAGCGGUGGUGAUGAAAUUGUUACAAAAAUACAAAAACAGAAUUCAGCACAAAUGGACAGUCACUGUCGGGUACUGUUGACCCAUCAAGUGAGGCUCAAGCUGUAAAGAACACCUGCACUAUAUCAGCUCCAGCAGAAAAGGAACAACAAUUGUUUGUGUACAUAUACACAAACGGUAUAUCCCUAAAGCUGUUGACUUAGGAUCUGCUUUCUGGUUCGCAAAAUCGUUGCUGUCAUCAAUAAAAACUAAUUUCUAGUA
Molecule: long non-coding RNA, 4093 nt
Organism: Ornithodoros turicata
Lineage: Eukaryota; Metazoa; Arthropoda; Arachnida; Ixodida; Argasidae
Exons: 10
Source: RefSeq, a predicted model, not a curated record